RNAcentral lists this long non-coding RNA (1132 nucleotides) under Setaria italica (foxtail millet). Its description in RNAcentral is "long non-coding RNA (SITA_LNC003121)". Lineage: Eukaryota; Viridiplantae; Streptophyta; Magnoliopsida; Poales; Poaceae. The record is from RNAcentral.
CAUUUCCGUUCCGUAAUAAUGAAGAAAUGGAUUGGAAUUGUUCACGGAUUUGGAUGCAGAAUAAUGACCCGUGUACCUGGCGUGCUUCUGGAGGAGCGACCUUCGGACGGACUGCGUGGGGUGGGCGGUGAAGACGAGGUCGACGGUCUGGUUCUUGAGCGCGUCGAAGACCUCCUCCUUGGACUUUCCGAGCUCUGUGACGAGGCGCUUGAGCGUCUCCUCGAUGUCAGACUCGGUGGCAGCGAAGCCCUCGUCGGCGAAGUCCCCGCGCUUGAGCUUGUUCCGGCGGAGGUGGGCGAGCUGCACCUCCUCCGCGAGGUUUGUUAGGUUGAGCAUGUUCGAGAAGGAGCUCGCCACGACGAUGGCGUCAUUGGGGGACAGCUUGGUGAGCCUGGACCCGAGCUCGCUCAGCUUCGCGGCGUCGCGAUCGCGCUCGUACUCCGCCGCCACCUCGUAGCACUCCUGGACCUGCAAGCAGAAGCGUGCAGGGCCUGGUGGUCAGUCGCCGGCCGACCGGGAGAGGCGGCGAACUGGAUCGAAUUGAAGGACGAUUACGAAUUCACGGAUGUUUGGGCCGUGGAGGUCCUGGAAGAUGUCGAGGAAGCGGUCGAUGAGGAGGGCGUCGUACUCGACGAGCUUGUCGUCCUCGGAGACCUUGCCGGGUGCCAGGAGCCGGAGCUGCGCGUCGAUGGAGUGGUGCUUCUCCACGGGCUUGGACGCCAUGGCGUGGUGGGAAGCGAAGCGAAGCUAGAUGACUGGAGUGGAGCUAGAUGGCUGUGGCGGUGGCACGAGGUCGAGCGAGGCGCGCGGGUGGGUUUAAAUAACGGAUGGGGCUUCUAAAAAAAACAAAAUAACGGAUGGGGAGUCGGCGAGUGUGUGCACGGGAUUGCACGCCUCAUGGCGGAUGGAAAGGGGGCUUUUUUUUUUUUCAAGCGGAGGGCAUGUGACCGGCGGCGAAUCACGAAUGCAAGGGGAGGGCCGAGGGGCAGCGCUGCGGAGCGAUGUGCUCGUUGCCUGGUUUUCGUCUGGGUUGUGCUGUCGACGUACUUGUCACUGCUCAAUCGCCUUCUUCUUCCUCGAAUCCUUCUCUUGGCUAUAAUUAAUUUGCUUGGUGUGGAGGGACUUGGACUCA